ACACCCCUGCGAUGUUCGUGAUUAACGUCUGUUUUUGAGCCAACACUUUGAACCUGGGGUCUUUCCUUGUUUGCGGUGUGCAGGUCGGCCUUGUUUCCGCUUGUCGGGAGGUCGAAAGCCUGAAGCAAAACAAUACCGGACGCCCACUUAUAAAAAGGUUCAAAAAGCCAUUAACACGGCAUAUGCGGGGUUUUU
This 195-nucleotide non-coding RNA is filed under the name Deltaproteobacteria bacterium HGW-Deltaproteobacteria-12. RNAcentral's name for it is "6S RNA". It matches the Rfam family "6S / SsrS RNA". From Rfam's summary of the family: E. coli 6S RNA was the first non coding RNA to be sequenced, but its function was unknown until recently. It consists of 184 nucleotides that fold into an extended hairpin structure with a large single-stranded internal bulge. Lineage: Bacteria; Deltaproteobacteria. The record is from RNAcentral.